GACAGAGGGUGCAACCGUUGUUCGGAAUUACUGGGCGUAAAGCGCGUGUAGGCGGCUGCGUAAGUCGGGCGUGAAAUCCCAUGGCUCAACCAUGGAAGUGCACCCGAAACUGCGUAGCUAGAGUCCUGGAGAGGAAGGUGGAAUACUUGGUGUAGAGGUGAAAUUCGUAGAUAUCAAGUGGAACACCGGUGGCGAAGGCGGCCUUCUGGACAGUGACUGACGCUGAGACGCGAAAGCGUGGGGAGCAAACAGG
This 253-nucleotide ribosomal RNA is filed under the name uncultured bacterium. RNAcentral describes it as "partial 16S ribosomal RNA". It matches the Rfam family "Bacterial small subunit ribosomal RNA", at positions 524 to 776 of the family's 1533-position model. The record is from RNAcentral.